GGAAUGUGUAGCUAAGCUAAUAACAGAUCUCCCAGCUACUUGUGAUGUGGGCUGAAAUGUACAUUGAGCCAAAAUCAAUCACACUAUUUUUAAAAAUAUGCAAGAUCAUGCUAGAAUUUUGUAAUUUUUAUAAAUAUAUAUGUCAGAUACCAAUCAGAAAAGAGAAACCAUUUUGGGUACUUCAAACAAAGGGGAUGUAAUAUAGGGAUUAGUUAUACAGUCGAAAGAAGAGCUGAGAGGUCAAAUAGGAGAUGAUGAGGCAAUCUAGAGAUUAGCAACAAUGCGAAUCCCAUCACUCAAGGGCUGAAGGAUGGCAAGGAGGAGAUGAUACUGUCAAAACUCAAAAGUUGUGGAUCUCAGGGCCAGCCCCAUAGCUGAGUGGCUAAGUUUGUGUGCUCCACUUCGGCGGCCCAGGGUUUCACUGGUUUGGAUCCUGGGCGAGGACCUAGCACUGCUCAUCAAGCCAUGCUGAGGUGGCAUUCCACAUAGCAGAGCCAGAAGGACCUACAACUAGAGUAUACAACUAGAUUAUCCCUGAGCUAACAUCUGUGCGAAGCCUUCUCUACUUUUUUGAAUGUGGGACACCUCCACAGCACGGCUGGUGCGGGGAGCAGGUCCAUGCCCGGCAUCUGAAUCCACGAACCUGGGCUGCUGAAGCAGAGCACAUGGAACUUUAACCACUUGGCCAAGGGCCAGGCCCAAGAAGGUCAUACAUAUGCUAUUUCAGAGUUCACAGCUAGCUCCUCACUACUCAAAUUGUGGGUGUUAUUGCCAGACUGCGGAGAUGCACAAGAAUUGACUUGAGAAGCAAAGAGAUUAUUCACACCCACACACACUGUUCUCUCUAGGAGCACCUCAUCAAUGCCGGUGAGAGCCAGUUAAUGCUGCUGAGGUGAGGGCACACGGGCUGUUCAGUGGAAGAUGAGAAAUUAAAACGUGAUUAUUUUCCAAAUUGGAAUAUAAAAUAAAGAGCACAUUCCAGGAAAGAAGAGGAG
This 995-nucleotide long non-coding RNA is filed under the name Equus asinus (donkey). Its description in RNAcentral is "lncRNA (ENSEASG00005023910.1)". Lineage: Eukaryota; Metazoa; Chordata; Mammalia; Perissodactyla; Equidae. The record is from RNAcentral.